CACUUAGUUCCCUGUCGAGAAUCAGAAAAUCAACUAGAAAGUAAAACUCAUCUACCUUGACCAAGACAUCCUCAAGCAUUCCACGUGGUUUCUUAAUUGAUCUGUCGGCUAAUUGCAGUAUGACUGAUGUGGGUUUUAGUUCUCCGAAUCUAAAAAGUUCAUACACCGAACUAGGUAAAAGAUUCACACUUACCCCUAAGUCCAGAAGAGCUUUUUCAAUGUGAUAAUCUCCUAUAACACAGGAAAUGAUGGGGGCUCCUGGGUCCUUAAGCUUUGGAGGAGUGGCAUGUUGGAAGACAG
Molecule: long non-coding RNA, 300 nt
Filed under: Elaeis guineensis (African oil palm)
Lineage: Eukaryota; Viridiplantae; Streptophyta; Magnoliopsida; Arecales; Arecaceae
Description: long non-coding RNA (EGUI_LNC057462)
Source: RNAcentral